AGUGAACGCUGGCGGUAGGCCUAACACAUGCAAGUCGAACGGCAGCACAGUAAGAGCUUGCUCUUACGGGUGGCGAGAGGCGGACGGGUCAGGAAUACAUCGGACUCUACUUUUUCGUGGGGGAUAACGUAGGGAAACUUACGCCAAUACAGCAUACGCCCUACGGGGGAAAGCAGGGGAUCUUCGGACCUUGCGCGAUUGAAUGAGCCGAUGUCGGACUAGCUGGUUGGCGGGGUAAAGGCCCACCAAGUCGACGAUCCGUAGCUGGUCUGAGAGGAUGAUCGGCCGCACUGGAACUUAGACACGGUCCAGACUCCUACGGGAGGCAGCAGUGGGGAAUAUUGGACAAUGGGCGCAAGCCUGAUCCAGCCAUACCGCGUGGGUGAAGAAGGCCUUCGGGUUGUAAAGCCCUUUUGUUGGGAAAGAAAAGCAGCAGGUUAAUACCCCGCUGUUCUGACGGUACCCAAAGAAUAAGCACCGGCUAACUUCGUG
This 492-nucleotide ribosomal RNA is filed under the name uncultured bacterium. RNAcentral describes it as "partial 16S ribosomal RNA". It matches the Rfam family "Bacterial small subunit ribosomal RNA", at positions 29 to 507 of the family's 1533-position model. The record is from RNAcentral.